RNAcentral lists this ribosomal RNA (767 nucleotides) under Pseudomonas helmanticensis. RNAcentral describes it as "bacterial SSU rRNA". It matches the Rfam family "Bacterial small subunit ribosomal RNA", at positions 1 to 772 of the family's 1533-position model. Lineage: Bacteria; Pseudomonadati; Pseudomonadota; Gammaproteobacteria; Pseudomonadales; Pseudomonadaceae. The record is from RNAcentral.
UAUAGAGUUUGAUCCUGGCUCAGAUUGAACGCUGGCGGCAGGCCUAACACAUGCAAGUCGAGCGGAUGAGAGGAGCUUGCUCCUGGAUUCAGCGGCGGACGGGUGAGUAAUGCCUAGGAAUCUGCCUGGUAGUGGGGGACAACGUUUCGAAAGGAACGCUAAUACCGCAUACGUCCUACGGGAGAAAGCAGGGGACCUUCGGGCCUUGCGCUAUCAGAUGAGCCUAGGUCGGAUUAGCUAGUUGGUGAGGUAAUGGCUCACCAAGGCGACGAUCCGUAACUGGUCUGAGAGGAUGAUCAGUCACACUGGAACUGAGACACGGUCCAGACUCCUACGGGAGGCAGCAGUGGGGAAUAUUGGACAAUGGGCGAAAGCCUGAUCCAGCCAUGCCGCGUGUGUGAAGAAGGUCUUCGGAUUGUAAAGCACUUUAAGUUGGGAGGAAGGGCAGUAACUUAAUACGUUGCUGUUUUGACGUUACCGACAGAAUAAGCACCGGCUAACUCUGUGCCAGCAGCCGCGGUAAUACAGAGGGUGCAAGCGUUAAUCGGAAUUACUGGGCGUAAAGCGCGCGUAGGUGGUUUGUUAAGUUGGAUGUGAAAUCCCCGGGCUCAACCUGGGAACUGCAUUCAAAACUGACAAGCUAGAGUAUGGUAGAGGGUGGUGGAAUUUCCUGUGUAGCGGUGAAAUGCGUAGAUAUAGGAAGGAACACCAGUGGCGAAGGCGACCACCGGACGAUACGACACGAGGGCGAAAGCUGUAGUUUCUUU